Molecule: ribosomal RNA, 303 nt
Filed under: uncultured bacterium
Lineage: Bacteria
Description: partial 16S ribosomal RNA
Rfam family: Bacterial small subunit ribosomal RNA
Source: RNAcentral
AGCAGCAGCCACGGGAACACAGAGGGUGCGAGCGUUAAUCGGAUUUACUGGGCGUAAAGCGUGCGUAGGCGGCUUCUUAAGUCGGAUGUGAAAUCCCUGAGCUUAACUUAGGAAUUGCAUUCGAUACUGGGAAGCUAGAGUAUGGGAGAGGAUGGUAGAAUUCCAGGUGUAGCGGUGAAAUGCGUAGAGAUCUGGAGGAAUACCGAUGGCGAAGGCAGCCAUCUGGCCUAAUACUGACGCUGAGGUACGAAAGCAUGGGGAGCAAACAGGAUUAGAUACCCCUGUAGUCCCUGUCUCUUAUAA